Molecule: long non-coding RNA, 223 nt
Filed under: Lathyrus oleraceus (garden pea)
Lineage: Eukaryota; Viridiplantae; Streptophyta; Magnoliopsida; Fabales; Fabaceae
Description: Pisum sativum (pea) long non-coding RNA (PSAT_LNC009988)
Source: RNAcentral
UUGUGGUUGCCUCUUCUUCAGCUACUGCCACUUUAUCACCACUUCCUCCCUCCAUUACAAUGUUAUUAUUAGCCACUACCUCUAAAUGAUUGUAAACAGGUUCCUGAGCCCUUAAUGCAACAGGUACGGGAAGGACCUCACAAGGUUCAGGAUCCAAAUCAAUCAAUCUUGCUCCGCGGCCUCUACCAGCUGCAGGUCGCCUUGUGGGUACAGCUGGUGAAGA